RNAcentral lists this ribosomal RNA (207 nucleotides) under uncultured bacterium. Its description in RNAcentral is "partial 16S ribosomal RNA". It matches the Rfam family "Bacterial small subunit ribosomal RNA", at positions 568 to 774 of the family's 1533-position model. The record is from RNAcentral.
CAUGUAAGCGGUUUUUUAAGUCCGGAGUGAAAAUGCGGGGCUCAACCCCCGUAUGGCUCUGGAUACUGGAAGACUUGAGUGCAGGAGAGGAAAGGGGAAUUCCCAGUGUAGCGGUGAAAUGCGUAGAUAUUGGGAGGAACACCAGUGGCGAAGGCGCCUUUCUGGACUGUGUCUGACGCUGAGAUGCGAAAGCCAGGGUAGCGAACG